RNAcentral lists this ribosomal RNA (495 nucleotides) under uncultured bacterium. Its description in RNAcentral is "partial 16S ribosomal RNA". It matches the Rfam family "Bacterial small subunit ribosomal RNA", at positions 28 to 507 of the family's 1533-position model. The record is from RNAcentral.
GACGAACGCUGGCGGCGUGCCUAAUACAUGCAAGUAGAACGCUGAAGGAGGAGCUUGCUUCUCUGGAUGAGUUGCGAACGGGUGAGUAACGCGUAGGUAACCUGCCUGGUAGCGGGGGAUAACUAUUGGAAACGAUAGCUAAUACCGCAUAAUAGCAGUCGUCGCAUGACAACUGUUUGAAAGGUGCAAUUGCACCAUUACCAGAUGGACCUGCGUUGUAUUAGCUAGUUGGUGGGGUAACGGCUCACCAAGGCGACGAUACAUAGUCGACCUGAGGGGGGGGUCGGCCACACUGGGACUGGGGCACGGCCCAGGCUCCUUCGGGGGGGCGCCGUAGGGGAUCUUCGGCAAUGGGCGGAAGUCUUGACGAGCCACGCCGCGGGAGUGGAGGAGGGUUUCGGGUCGUAAAGCUCUGUUGUUAGGGGAGAACGAGUGUGGGAGUGGAAAGUUCACACUGUGACGGUAUCUUACCAGAAAGGGACGGCUAACUACGUG